GAGAGUAUAGCUCAGUUGGUAGAGCACGGGCUUAGCAUGCACAGGGUCCUGGGUUCAAUCCCCAGCACCUCCA
Molecule: transfer RNA, 73 nt
Filed under: Camelus bactrianus (Bactrian camel)
Lineage: Eukaryota; Metazoa; Chordata; Mammalia; Artiodactyla; Camelidae
Also listed under: 2 other names
Rfam family: tRNA
About the family: Transfer RNA (tRNA) molecules are approximately 80 nucleotides in length.
Source: Rfam by way of RNAcentral